UGCGUAGGUGGCAAGGCAAGUCUGAAGUGAAAAUCCGGGGCUCAACCCCGGAACUGCUUUGGAAACUGUUUAGCUAGAGUACAGGAGAGGUAAGUGGAAUUCCUAGUGUAGCGGUGAAAUGCGUAGAUAUUAGGAGGAACACCAGUGGCGAAGGCGACUUACUGGACUGCUACUGACACUGAGGCACGAAAGCGUGGGGAAGCAAACA
This 208-nucleotide ribosomal RNA is filed under the name uncultured bacterium. Its description in RNAcentral is "partial 16S ribosomal RNA". It matches the Rfam family "Bacterial small subunit ribosomal RNA", at positions 568 to 774 of the family's 1533-position model. The record is from RNAcentral.